This is a long non-coding RNA of Tribolium castaneum (red flour beetle), 458 nucleotides long. RefSeq lists it as uncharacterized. The record is from RefSeq and is a predicted model, not a curated record. The transcript is spliced from 3 exons. NCBI's taxonomy places the organism in Eukaryota, Metazoa, Arthropoda, Insecta, Coleoptera, Tenebrionidae.
UGACACACCUGUUUCAAAACCUUCACAAGCAAAAUGAAACUCUUUACUGUCCUCCUUUCUGUAACACUUUAUAAUUGUGUUUCAGAGGCGCUAAAAUGUUACGAUUGCAUCGAAGACGACCAAUGUUCCAAAGAUUUGGACGAACUUAGGCAUACUUGUGGUGAGGAACAAAAAUAUUGUGUCAGUGGAUCGAAAUAUGAGUACGAUGUUGUGAUAAAGUUCAGAGAAUGUAUUUACGCAGCCAACGAUGAUGAUAUGAAUGAAUAUUGCCAAGAUAUUAUUGCUGAUGAAGGAGAGUGUGACUGGUGUCAGGAAAAUUAUUGUAACCUAAAAACCACUUGGAAAGAAUAACAAUAAAAAAAUAUAUAGCAACGGAAAAAAAUUGUAUUCUCUCUGAAAAAUAUAUAGUUCAUGCGAAAAAAUGGUUUCCUUCGUUAAACUGACACAUAAUUAUUACA